UACGUAGGGUCCGAGCGUUGUCCGGAAUCAUUGGGCGUAAAGCGCGUGUAGGCGGCUCGGUAAGUCUGCUGUGAAAGUCCAGGGCUCAACCCUGGAAUGCCGGUGGAUACUGUCGAGCUUGAGUCCGGAAGAGGCGAGUGGAAUUCCUGGUGUAGCGGUGAAAUGCGCAGAUAUCAGGAGGAACACCAAUGGCGAAGGCAGCUCGCUGGGACGUGACUGACGCUGAGGAGCGAAAGCGUGGGGAGCGAACAGG
This 253-nucleotide ribosomal RNA is filed under the name uncultured bacterium. RNAcentral's name for it is "partial 16S ribosomal RNA". It matches the Rfam family "Bacterial small subunit ribosomal RNA", at positions 524 to 776 of the family's 1533-position model. The record is from RNAcentral.